RNAcentral lists this ribosomal RNA (378 nucleotides) under uncultured eukaryote. RNAcentral's name for it is "partial 18S ribosomal RNA". It matches the Rfam family "Eukaryotic small subunit ribosomal RNA", at positions 592 to 975 of the family's 1831-position model. The record is from RNAcentral.
CAAUAGCGUAUAUUUAAGUUGUUGCAGUUAAAAAGCUCGUAGUUGGAUUUCGGAUGGGACUUGCCGGUCCGUCGUUUCGAUGUGCACUGGCCAGUCCUAUCUUGUUGUCGGGGACUAGCUCCUGGGCUUCACUGUCCGGGACUAGGAGCUGACGAGGUUACUUUGAGUAAAUUAGAGUGUUCAAAGCAAGCCUACGCUCUGAAUACAUUAGCAUGGAAUAACACGAUAGGACUCUGGCUUAUCUUGUUGGUCUGUGAGACCAGAGUAAUGAUUAAGAGGGACAGUCGGGGGCAUUCGUAUUUCAUUGUCAGAGGUGAAAUUCUUGGAUCUGCUAAAGACGGACAACUGCGAAAGCGUUUGCCCAGGAUGUUUUCAUUG